GCUGUUGCUGGGACACCAGCCUGCACUUCAGACAAGUCUUGGCUCAAGUCUUAGGGUUGCUGUUUUCCUGCCUGUGUGGCUUUAGGAAAUCACUUCACCGCUCUGUGAAAUGGGCAUGCAGGCAUCCUAAGGGAUAAGAAGAGAAUGAAAGGAGAUGAGAGCCGCUGUCAUCAGUUAUAGACAUCACAGUGAUCUUCCUUUUCUCCUCCUUCUGUGGAAUGUGAGAUCCAGAGCGCAGGCCAGCUCGCCUCGGUUCCCACCGUGUCCCCAGGUCUGGUGCACAGGAGGUGCUGAGCGAGUGUGUCAGGAACCGAUGGUGUCUCCAGCGCCUAUCCUGGGCACUGCUGGGGUUUGGGAGACUCUGGGAAAGCCAUCUGUCCCAAUGGGCCACCUACUUGCUCACUGGAAAUGCUAGCCAGGCUGCUACAGUCUCUCUGAGGGGAGUCAUUUCUCCAGACCAGAGAAAACAGUAGGUACUAAGACAACUUAAUGGAGAGAGAAUCAUCUUCCAACAAAUGGUGCCGAGACAACGGGAGAUCCAUGUGCAGAAAAAUGAGCUGGGACCCUGCCUCACAUCAUACACGAAAUUAACUCAAAAUGGAUGGAUCAGGGCUGGGGUUGUGACUCAGCACUUGCCUGUGUGUGUGAGCAGUGCAUACAAACAAAUAAAAUAAAGGUCCAUCAAGAACUAAAAAAAAAAAUAUUUAAAAACAGAUGGAUCAGACUAAAGUUAAAAGCUGAUACUAUAAGCCUCUUAAAAGAAAGUAUAGGGCUGGGGAUGUGGCUCAAGCGGUAGCGCGCUCGCCUGGCAUGCAUACGGCCUGGGUUCAAUCCUCAGCACCACAUACAAACAAAGACGUUGUGUCUGCCGAGAACUAAAAAAAAUAAAUAUUAAGAAAAAAAUUCUCUCUCUCUCUCUCU
This 921-nucleotide long non-coding RNA is filed under the name Ictidomys tridecemlineatus (thirteen-lined ground squirrel). RNAcentral's name for it is "lncRNA (ENSSTOG00000030690.1)". The record is from RNAcentral. Lineage: Eukaryota; Metazoa; Chordata; Mammalia; Rodentia; Sciuridae.